Molecule: non-coding RNA, 437 nt
Organism: Pelobates cultripes (western spadefoot toad)
Lineage: Eukaryota; Metazoa; Chordata; Amphibia; Anura; Pelobatidae
Source: the annotation of a GenBank genome assembly
CCUUAGCUCACUGGUGGAUCAGAAAAUACUUAUCCUUAAAGUUGUUAAUUUAACUGACAUCUAGCCUUGUAAAUCUAUCCCAUUCUUGAAGUUACUGAUCAAAUUUGCGAGCAUUAAGUCAGCAGUGAAUUAUUAACUUUAGAAAUGUUACUGCUCCUUCAAUUAAAAGUGUAUACUUUAUUUUACCAAUGAAGUCUCUUAAACAGAUCUCCAAAGAGUUUGAUCUAUUACCCUUGGAAGAAUGUGUAUUCCAUUUUAAAGAAAAUACAUUCCCAUAUUUUUAAAACACAUUUAAUUCCUUUUUAGCCUCUCUUAAUUAUUCCCAUGUGUUCCAUAGCCCCCUAAGCAAUAAUCUGCUGAUUUGAACAAUACAUUUCUGGCACUGUAACAGCCCCAUUGGAAAUAUUCAAGUACAACUGCUACAAUAUUGUGAUCUA